This 2925-nucleotide ribosomal RNA is filed under the name Escherichia coli. Its description in RNAcentral is "23S ribosomal RNA". It matches the Rfam family "Bacterial large subunit ribosomal RNA". Lineage: Bacteria; Pseudomonadati; Pseudomonadota; Gammaproteobacteria; Enterobacterales; Enterobacteriaceae. The record is from RNAcentral.
GGGUUGUGAGGUUAAGCGACUAAGCGUACACGGUGGAUGCCCUGGCAGUCAGAGGCGAUGAAGGACGUGCUAAUCUGCGAUAAGCGUCGGUGAGGUGAUAUGAACCGUUAUAACCGGCGAUUUCCGAAUGGGGAAACCCAGUGUGAUUCGUCACACUAUCAUUAACUGAAUCCAUAGGUUAAUGAGGCGAACCGGGGGAACUGAAACAUCUAAGUACCCCGAGGAAAAGAAAUCAACCGAGAUUCCCCCAGUAGCGGCGAGCGAACGGGGAGGAGCCCAGAGCCUGAAUCAGUGUGUGUGUUAGUGGAAGCGUCUGGAAAGGCGCGCGAUACAGGGUGACAGCCCCGUACACAAAAAUGCACAUACUGUGAGCUCGAUGAGUAGGGCGGGACACGUGGUAUCCUGUCUGAAUAUGGGGGGACCAUCCUCCAAGGCUAAAUACUCCUGACUGACCGAUAGUGAACCAGUACCGUGAGGGAAAGGCGAAAAGAACCCCGGCGAGGGGAGUGAAAAAGAACCUGAAACCGUGUACGUACAAGCAGUGGGAGCCUCUUAAUGGGGUGACUGCGUACCUUUUGUAUAAUGGGUCAGCGACUUAUAUUCUGUAGCAAGGUUAACCGAAUAGGGGAGCCGAAGGGAAACCGAGUCUUAACUGGGCGUUAAGUUGCAGGGUAUAGACCCGAAACCCGGUGAUCUAGCCAUGGGCAGGUUGAAGGUUGGGUAACACUAACUGGAGGACCGAACCGACUAAUGUUGAAAAAUUAGCGGAUGACUUGUGGCUGGGGGUGAAAGGCCAAUCAAACCGGGAGAUAGCUGGUUCUCCCCGAAAGCUAUUUAGGUAGCGCCUCGUGAAUUCAUCUCCGGGGGUAGAGCACUGUUUCGGCAAGGGGGUCAUCCCGACUUACCAACCCGAUGCAAACUGCGAAUACCGGAGAAUGUUAUCACGGGAGACACACGGCGGGUGCUAACGUCCGUCGUGAAGAGGGAAACAACCCAGACCGCCAGCUAAGGUCCCAAAGUCAUGGUUAAGUGGGAAACGAUGUGGGAAGGCCCAGACAGCCAGGAUGUUGGCUUAGAAGCAGCCAUCAUUUAAAGAAAGCGUAAUAGCUCACUGGUCGAGUCGGCCUGCGCGGAAGAUGUAACGGGGCUAAACCAUGCACCGAAGCUGCGGCAGCGACACUAUGUGUUGUUGGGUAGGGGAGCGUUCUGUAAGCCUGUGAAGGUGGCCUGUGAGGGUUGCUGGAGGUAUCAGAAGUGCGAAUGCUGACAUAAGUAACGAUAAAGCGGGUGAAAAGCCCGCUCGCCGGAAGACCAAGGGUUCCUGUCCAACGUUAAUCGGGGCAGGGUGAGUCGACCCCUAAGGCGAGGCCGAAAGGCGUAGUCGAUGGGAAACAGGUUAAUAUUCCUGUACUUGGUGUUACUGCGAAGGGGGGACGGAGAAGGCUAUGUUGGCCGGGCGACGGUUGUCCCGGUUUAAGCGUGUAGGCUGGUUUUCCAGGCAAAUCCGGAAAACCAAGGCUGAGGCGUGAUGACGAGGCACUACGGUGCUGAAGCGACAAAUGCCCUGCUUCCAGGAAAAGCCUCUAAGCAUCAGGUAACAUUAAAUCGUACCCCAAACCGACACAGGUGGUCAGGUAGAGAAUACCAAGGCGCUUGAGAGAACUCGGGUGAAGGAACUAGGCAAAAUGGUGCCGUAACUUCGGGAGAAGGCACGCUGAUAUGUAGGUGAAGCGACUUGCUCGUGGAGCUGAAAUCAGUCGAAGAUACCAGCUGGCUGCAACUGUUUAUUAAAAACACAGCACUGUGCAAACACGAAAGUGGACGUAUACGGUGUGACGCCUGCCCGGUGCCGGAAGGUUAAUUGAUGGGGUUAGCGGCAACGCGAAGCUCUUGAUCGAAGCCCCGGUAAACGGCGGCCGUAACUAUAACGGUCCUAAGGUAGCGAAAUUCCUUGUCGGGUAAGUUCCGACCUGCACGAAUGGCGUAAUGAUGGCCAGGCUGUCUCCACCCGAGACUCAGUGAAAUUGAACUCGCUGUGAAGAUGCAGUGUACCCGCGGCAAGACGGAAAGACCCCGUGAACCUUUACUAUAGCUUGACACUGAACAUUGAGCCUUGAUGUGUAGGAUAGGUGGGAGGCUUUGAAGUGUGGACGCCAGUCUGCAUGGAGCCGACCUUGAAAUACCACCCUUUAAUGUUUGAUGUUCUAACGUGGGCCCCUUACCGGGGUUGCGGACAGUGUCUGGUGGGUAGUUUGACUGGGGCGGUCUCCUCCUAAAGAGUAACGGAGGAGCACGAAGGUUGGCUAAUCCUGGUCGGACAUCAGGAGGUUAGUGCAAUGGCAUAAGCCAGCUUGACUGCGAGCGUGACGGCGCGAGCAGGUGCGAAAGCAGGUCAUAGUGAUCCGGUGGUUCUGAAUGGAAGGGCCAUCGCUCAACGGAUAAAAGGUACUCCGGGGAUAACAGGCUGAUACCGCCCAAGAGUUCAUAUCGACGGCGGUGUUUGGCACCUCGAUGUCGGCUCAUCACAUCCUGGGGCUGAAGUAGGUCCCAAGGGUAUGGCUGUUCGCCAUUUAAAGUGGUACGCGAGCUGGGUUUAGAACGUCGUGAGACAGUUCGGUCCCUAUCUGCCGUGGGCGCUGGAGAACUGAGGGGGGCUGCUCCUAGUACGAGAGGACCGGAGUGGACGCAUCACUGGUGUUCGGGUUGUCAUGCCAAUGGCACUGCCCGGUAGCUAAAUGCGGAAGAGAUAAGUGCUGAAAGCAUCUAAGCACGAAACUUGCCCCGAGAUGAGUUCUCCCUGACCCUUUAAGGGUCCUGAAGGAACGUUGAAGACGACGACGUUGAUAGGCCGGGUGUGUAAGCGCAGCGAUGUGUUGAGCUAACCGGUACUAAUGAACCGUGAGGCUUAACCUUACAACGCCGAAG